AGUGUAGGCGGGAUAUCAAGUCAGAAGUGAAAAUUACGGGCUCAACUCGUAACCUGCUUUUGAAACUGACAUUCUUGAGUGAAGUAGAGGCAAGCGGAAUUCCUAGUGUAGCGGUGAAAUGCGUAGAUAUUAGGAGGAAUACCGGAGGCGAAGGCGGCCUGCUGGACAAAUACUGACGCUGAGGCGCGAAAGCGUGGGGAGCAAACA
This 207-nucleotide ribosomal RNA is filed under the name uncultured bacterium. RNAcentral's name for it is "partial 16S ribosomal RNA". It matches the Rfam family "Bacterial small subunit ribosomal RNA", at positions 568 to 774 of the family's 1533-position model. The record is from RNAcentral.